RNAcentral lists this ribosomal RNA (297 nucleotides) under uncultured Sphingomonadaceae bacterium. Its description in RNAcentral is "partial 16S ribosomal RNA". It matches the Rfam family "Bacterial small subunit ribosomal RNA", at positions 111 to 426 of the family's 1533-position model. The record is from RNAcentral. Lineage: Bacteria; Pseudomonadati; Pseudomonadota; Alphaproteobacteria; Sphingomonadales; Sphingomonadaceae.
UAACGCGUGGGAAUCUGCAAUCAGUGGGGAAUAACGACGGGAAACUGUCGCUAAUACCGCAUACGCCCUUAGGGGGAAAGAUUUAUCGCUGAUAGAUGAGCCCGCGUACGAUUAGCUAGUUGGUGAGGUAAUGGCUCACCAAGGCUACGAUCGUUAGCUGGUCUGAGAGGAUGAUCAGCCACACUGGGACUGAGACACGGCCCAGACUCCUACGGGAGGCAGCAGUGGGGAAUAUUGGACAAUGGGCGAAAGCCUGAUCCAGCAAUGCCGCGUGAGUGAUGAAGGCCUUAGGGUUGU